Molecule: long non-coding RNA, 238 nt
Filed under: Mytilus galloprovincialis (Mediterranean mussel)
Lineage: Eukaryota; Metazoa; Mollusca; Bivalvia; Mytilida; Mytilidae
Source: RNAcentral
UUGUACAUUUUCUGUUAUAAUUUUCAUACAAUCAGUGAAACAUUUAAACAGGCUAAACUAAAUUUUUAUUGCUGAAAGUGUCAAACAAUGACAAGUGUUUUAUUUACCACUCAUGUGUUUUUGUGAGAGAAAAAAAAUCUUGUGCAAUAUUUGGAAUUAAAGGGAAAGAAGAUCCUUUUUGCCUCGCACUGGCGCAUGUCAAUGUUAAUAUAUACUUACCAAAUAUAUUUUCUUUAUC